This 175-nucleotide small nuclear RNA is filed under the name Betta splendens (Siamese fighting fish). RNAcentral's name for it is "U2 spliceosomal RNA (ENSBSLG00000001675.1)". It matches the Rfam family "U2 spliceosomal RNA". From Rfam's summary of the family: U2 is a small nuclear RNA (snRNA) component of the spliceosome (involved in pre-mRNA splicing). Lineage: Eukaryota; Metazoa; Chordata; Actinopteri; Anabantiformes; Osphronemidae. The record is from Rfam by way of RNAcentral.
AUCGCUUCUCGGCCUUUUGGCUAAGAUCAAGUGUAGUAUCUGUUCUUAUCAGUUUAAUAUCUGAUACGUCCCCUACCCGGGGACCAUAUAUUAAAUUGAUUUUUGGAGAGAUUUGCUCCGUCCACUCCACACAUCGACCCAGUAUUGCAGUACUUCUGGAAACGGUGCACCCCAU